Molecule: long non-coding RNA, 240 nt
Organism: Capsicum annuum
Lineage: Eukaryota; Viridiplantae; Streptophyta; Magnoliopsida; Solanales; Solanaceae
Exons: 4
Source: RefSeq, a predicted model, not a curated record
CUUUCAUUAUGCUCCAUUCAUUAGAGUUUUUUGUAUGAAAGGCCAACAAGUUGAUUUAAAAAUGAGUUUACCUAUGGAUGCACCUACUUCCAAUGUCAUUCAAGAUUCCGUUGGAAAUUCUGCUGAAGGUGAUUCAUCAAAACCUUAUUGGUUGAGAAGUGCUGCUAAAAAGUCUGACCACAAAAACGCUGCAAAUUGCUCAACUUAUAAGGCUUCGAAGUCAGUUGCACCACGACCAAA